This 134-nucleotide unclassified non-coding RNA is filed under the name Drosophila erecta. RNAcentral describes it as "GG21836". The record is from RNAcentral. Lineage: Eukaryota; Metazoa; Arthropoda; Insecta; Diptera; Drosophilidae.
ACCACUACUCAAGGUCCAUGGUGGGGAAACACCACUACUCAAGGUCCAUGGUGGGGAAAUAACUCUACUCAAGGUCCAUGGUGGGGAAACAACUCAACCGAAGGUCCAUGGUGGGGAAACAAUUCAACAGAAGG